Molecule: ribosomal RNA, 634 nt
Filed under: Pantoea ananatis
Lineage: Bacteria; Pseudomonadati; Pseudomonadota; Gammaproteobacteria; Enterobacterales; Erwiniaceae
Description: bacterial SSU rRNA
Rfam family: Bacterial small subunit ribosomal RNA
Source: RNAcentral
AACUCAAAGGAAUUGACGGGGGCCCGCACAAGCGGUGGAGCAUGUGGUUUAAUUCGAUGCAACGCGAAGAACCUUACCUACUCUUGACAUCCAGAGAACUUAGCAGAGAUGCUUUGGUGCCUUCGGGAACUCUGAGACAGGUGCUGCAUGGCUGUCGUCAGCUCGUGUUGUGAAAUGUUGGGUUAAGUCCCGCAACGAGCGCAACCCUUAUCCUUUGUUGCCAGCGAUUCGGUCGGGAACUCAAAGGAGACUGCCGGUGAUAAACCGGAGGAAGGUGGGGAUGACGUCAAGUCAUCAUGGCCCUUACGAGUAGGGCUACACACGUGCUACAAUGGCGCAUACAAAGAGAAGCGACCUCGCGAGAGCAAGCGGACCUCAUAAAGUGCGUCGUAGUCCGGAUCGGAGUCUGCAACUCGACUCCGUGAAGUCGGAAUCGCUAGUAAUCGUGGAUCAGAAUGCCACGGUGAAUACGUUCCCGGGCCUUGUACACACCGCCCGUCACACCAUGGGAGUGGGUUGCAAAAGAAGUAGGUAGCUUAACCUUCGGGAGGGCGCUUACCACUUUGUGAUUCAUGACUGGGGUGAAGUCGUAACAAGGUAACCGUAGGGGAACCUGCGGCUGGAUCACCUCCUU